This 450-nucleotide ribosomal RNA is filed under the name uncultured bacterium. Its description in RNAcentral is "bacterial SSU rRNA". It matches the Rfam family "Bacterial small subunit ribosomal RNA", at positions 329 to 793 of the family's 1533-position model. The record is from RNAcentral.
UGCCAGACUCCUACGGGAGGCAGCAGUGGGGAAUAUUGGGCAAUGGGCGCAAGCCUGACCCAGCAACGCCGCGUGAAGGAAGAAGGCUUUCGGGUUGUAAACUUCUUUUCUCAGGGACGAAGAAAGUGACGGUACCUGAGGAAUAAGCCACGGCUAACUACGUGCCAGCAGCCGCGGUAAUACGUAGGUGGCAAGCGUUAUCCGGAUUUACUGGGUGUAAAGGGCGUGUAGGCGGGACUGCAAGUCAGAUGUGAAAACCAUGGGCUCAGCCUGUGGCCUGCAUUUGAAACUGUAGUUCUUGAGUACUGGAGAGGCAGACGGAAUUCCUAGUGUAGCGGUGAAAUGCGUAGAUAUUAGGAGGAACACCAGUGGCGAAGGCGGCCUACUGGACGGUGACUGACGCUGAGGCUCGAAAGCGUGGGGAGCAAGCAGGAUUAGAUACCCCGGUAA